UAUACUAAAGAUAUUAUUUAUCAAUUUCAGAAAAAUUUCGUUAGUCCAUAUAAUGACACGAUAAUCGCGAGAACGAGAUUUAUACCACAAAAUAUCUUAUACAUAUUUAUUUCUUAAAAUAUCUAUUAAAAGUCAAAGAAAGACUUUUGUUUAGAGGUUCAAUCAUGCUUCUCUUGGAAGCUACUCUUCACUCUUCUCUACCUGUCAAACUAUAGCACACACAUACUUAAAAGUCUAGACUAUUGCUUACACAUCUAGUCAAAAGGACAUAUACGAUUCAAAUUUUGGAGGAGUGUCUGGCCAGUUUGACAUAACUUGCACUCUUUAACAAACAAUUAAACCCAAAAAUAUACUGUCUCUUCAUACUCAAAAGAGGAUGCCAAGAAGAACAGAAAACCAAUAACCUCUUUCCCUUCAUCUUCAUUGUUUCCUGCCAAAGAACAACAAGAGGCCAUCAGCCUCUUCUCUUGGUUCUUCCAUUUGCAAAACCUGUCAGAUAGAAACAAUAAAAAUCAACCCACAAAAUGUAUUUUUUCUAUAUGUGAAAUCAAAGAGGUAGGAGCCUCUUGGCUGCUGAUUGGAGCAAGCCAAAUACCCUGAGGUCAUCAUAGUUGCUGUUGGCUUCUCCCUUCCCUUUUGCGUUUUGCUGCUGAACCAAAGAAGGAACAGCCAAGAGCCGUCGGAGCAGCUCUCGCUGCCUUAAGCUGCAGACAACGACUUUGCUGCCAACCCCCGCUUUCUGCCUCCCUAUUACCUUCGUGAAUCACCACCGAAGAGCCGACUCUUUCCCUUCUUCCUUCUUCAGUCCGAUUGAGCACCGGUGGUACUCCCUUCGAUCGGCGACAGUCGCCGCCUCCACUCCCUGGUUCCAUUCGCAGAUCGUCUCCGGAGAUCCCUUCUCCCUUCGUUUUCCUUUUCUGCCGGGAAUGAUUCAUCGGAGACGAGAAAGGCUCACCGGAAUUUGAUGUUGGCCAUCAGUUUAUGCAUCUGUUUCCGUUUCACUUCNNAACCUAAUGAACGAAUUAUGAAGACGCGUCCCAUUUGUCCAUCUGAUGGACUUGACACAAACAGUCCCUGUAUUUACUCCUUUAAAUUAAAACCGACCCCUUUGACAUAAAUCCUUUCAAGGAAAAUCAUGUUGACUUAGUCUUUACAAAAUAGUCCUUAUGCUAUUUUUGAAAGAUCAAAAAAUAGUCCCUUUUGGUUUAAUUCAAUACAAAAAGAAAUUCUUUGAGUUUGAUAUUUUACCAAACAAACCCGGAAAUGUUUUAAAGUCCAAUAGUGGUCAAAUGGCGCUUUCUCACGACAAGAUUCACGAAGCGAGCUUAGAUCGAGAUCACGCAUCGAAUGUGAGUUUCUACGGCCCCUCUUUUGCUGUUUUAAUAUUUGGGGGAGAAUACAUGAGUGUCUAUUUAAAGUUUGAUGAUUUUCAAGUCUUAUACAUAAAAUGACAUCAUACUUUAUUAUUGGUUCAGAGUUAUGAAAAUAACAAUUUAAAAGGUAUAAAGCAUUAAUAAAUUAUAUAAGUUAUAUUAGAAUGCUAUAAAUGAUAUAAUUAUACCUUGUUGUGAUAUAUUAAUUAAUAUUAAUAAAAAUC
This 1597-nucleotide long non-coding RNA is filed under the name Lactuca sativa (garden lettuce). Its description in RNAcentral is "long non-coding RNA (LSAT_LNC000231)". The record is from RNAcentral. Lineage: Eukaryota; Viridiplantae; Streptophyta; Magnoliopsida; Asterales; Asteraceae.